RNAcentral lists this long non-coding RNA (269 nucleotides) under Medicago truncatula (barrel medic). RNAcentral describes it as "long non-coding RNA (MTRU_LNC005625)". The record is from RNAcentral. Lineage: Eukaryota; Viridiplantae; Streptophyta; Magnoliopsida; Fabales; Fabaceae.
GUGGCUAACCGGUUCAGGAAAAAUAAUAUGAAAUUAGUUUUUUAAUGCUUUUUGGAUUUUUGCUAGUUUAUCUCCCCCAUUUACUAAUGUGUAUAACAGAGAUUAUUUCCAGAACAUCGGUCAUAACAAAUCCGAAACUAUUCGUCUUCAUUCCAACAACAACCAAUCUGAAGCAUAUCAUUUUCUUUCUUGAACCAAUAUAGUAAUAAUCUUCUUGGCACACCAUAUUUUUUCCAUAGACUCUUCUAUUUCCCUUCCUCCGCUGCUAC